UUAAUGGCAUGUGACUGAAUUGUGGGAGGAAUUGUAUGAUCCUACCCCUUUUCAUUUUUAUGCUGCUUAGGAG
Molecule: non-coding RNA, 73 nt
Organism: Haemonchus contortus (barber pole worm)
Lineage: Eukaryota; Metazoa; Nematoda; Chromadorea; Rhabditida; Trichostrongylidae
Source: Rfam